This 743-nucleotide long non-coding RNA is filed under the name Nicotiana tabacum (common tobacco). Its description in RNAcentral is "long non-coding RNA (NTAB_LNC011864)". Lineage: Eukaryota; Viridiplantae; Streptophyta; Magnoliopsida; Solanales; Solanaceae. The record is from RNAcentral.
GAUCUGUCAGGUUCUAGUGAGGGGGUGAGAGGAAGAAGUCAGCGGCAGCUUCCUCAAAGGGGAGGAAUCGGGGAAGAAGAUAACAAUUUUGGGAGAAAGCAGCGGCCCCAGAAAGAAAGAAAGAAAACAAAAAUAAAAGACAAGAUCUGAAAGUGAAAAAUCAGAAACAUAUCUGUGCUUUAAACUUACAAUGAUACGGCAUUAGCGAAAACAAUGAGAAAUCAGAAAAUGCGCGUUAAACUUACAGUGAAUUUCGCCGAUCCCGAUCCGAAAGCAAUAGCUCGUGCUUGUGAGGAAGAAAGUUGAAAGAAUAGAAUGCCGGUGAAAGGUAAAUAAGCUUAAUCAAAAUUUCCAAAGUUCUUAACUCUGUAAAUAAGCUUAAUCACAAAGAAAGAGAUGGAAAUAAAUUUCAAUACGCGUGAAGAUUGUACUUUAACUCUGUAAUUUGAUGGUCAAUAUGUUAAUAUAUGUAUUUCUUUUAUUUUAAUAGCUUAUUGCCGCCAAUGUCAUCAUUUACUGAAGAGAAAUUCCAGCUGACGGAGGAAGGCAGUUGCACCGAUAUUUCAUCACACUUCAUUUAGAGCUCUCAAUUUUUCUUGAGCAAGGUGUUAAGAAAUUAACAUACUUAUGCAUUUGAUUGUGUUUUUAUUUCUUGCUUUUCGUUUUCAAAUGCGGAAAUAAUGUUUGAACAAAAAUAUCACUACUUAACACACUACGAUGGAGUUUGAAAAGUCCGUACAGUG